GGAGAAGGUGCCAUAUAGCUCAGUGGUGGAGCAUCUGCCUCACAAACAGGGGGGUCCCAGGUUCGAUCCCCAGCAUCUCCA
This is a non-coding RNA of Podarcis lilfordi (Lilford's wall lizard), 81 nucleotides long. NCBI's taxonomy places the organism in Eukaryota, Metazoa, Chordata, Lepidosauria, Squamata, Lacertidae. The record is from the annotation of a GenBank genome assembly.